CGUUCUGUCAAGUCCGAAUGUGAAAUUCCCCGGGCUCAACCUGGGAACUGCAUUCGAAACUGGCAGGCUAGAGUCUUGUAGAGGGGGGUAGAAUUUCCAGGUGUAGCGGUGAAAUGCGUAGAGAUCUGGAGGAAUACCGGUGGCGAAGGCGGCCCCCUGGACAAAGACUGACGCUCAGGUGCGAAAGCGUGGGGAGCAAACAGGAUUAGAUACCCUGGUAGUCCACGCCGUAAACGAUGUCGACUUGGAGGUUGUGCCCUUGAGGCGUGGCUUCCGGAGCUAACGCGUUAAGUCGACCGCCUGGGGAGUACGGCCGCAAGGUUAAAACUCAAAUGAAUUGACGGGGGCCCGCACAAGCGGUGGAGCAUGUGGUUUAAUUCGAUGCAACGCGAAGAACCUUACCUACUCUUGACAUCCAGAGAACUUUCCAGAGAUGGAUUGGUGCCUUCGGGAACUCUGAGACAGGUGCUGCAUGGCUGUCGUCAGCUCGUGUUGUGAAAUGUUGGGUUAAGUCCCGCAACGAGCGCAACCCUUAUCCUUUGUUGCCAGCGGUUAGGCCGGGAACUCAAAGGAGACUGCCAGUGAUAAACUGGAGGAAGGUGGGGAUGACGUCAAGUCAUCAUGGCCCUUACGAGUAGGGCUACACACGUGCUACAAUGGCGCAUACAAAGAGAAGCGACCUCGCGAGAGCAAGCGGACCUCAUAAAGUGCGUCGUAGUCCGGAUUGGAGUCUGCAACUCGACUCCAUGAAGUCGGAAUCGCUAGUAAUCGUAGAUCAGAAUGCUACGGUGAAUACGUUCCCGGGCCUUGUACACACCGCCCGUCACACCAUGGGAGUGGGUUGCAAAAGAAGUAGGUAGCUAACCUUCGGGAGGCGCUACCACUUGU
RNAcentral lists this ribosomal RNA (888 nucleotides) under Enterobacter sp. REICA_048. Its description in RNAcentral is "bacterial SSU rRNA". It matches the Rfam family "Bacterial small subunit ribosomal RNA", at positions 576 to 1465 of the family's 1533-position model. Lineage: Bacteria; Pseudomonadati; Pseudomonadota; Gammaproteobacteria; Enterobacterales; Enterobacteriaceae. The record is from RNAcentral.